CAGAGAGCAAACCGCCGAUGGCCCGCGCAAGCGGGAUCAGGUAAGGGUGAAAGGGUGCGGUAAGAGCGCACCGCGCGGCUGGUAACAGUCCGUGGCACGGUAAACUCCACCCGGAGCAAGGCCAAAUAGGGGUUCAUAAGGUACGGCCCGUACUGAACCCGGGUAGGCUGCUUGAGCCAGUGAGCGAUUGCUGGCCUAGAUGAAUGACUGUCCACGACAGAACCCGGCUUAUCGGUCAGUUUCACCU
RNAcentral lists this RNase P RNA (247 nucleotides) under Escherichia coli. RNAcentral describes it as "partial RNase P RNA component class A". It matches the Rfam family "Bacterial RNase P class A", at positions 115 to 367 of the family's 367-position model. Rfam says of the family: Ribonuclease P (RNase P) is a ubiquitous endoribonuclease, found in archaea, bacteria and eukarya as well as chloroplasts and mitochondria. Its best characterised activity is the generation of mature 5'-ends of tRNAs by cleaving the 5'-leader elements of precursor-tRNAs. Cellular RNase Ps are ribonucleoproteins. The record is from RNAcentral. RNAcentral also lists the same sequence under 1 other name. Lineage: Bacteria; Pseudomonadati; Pseudomonadota; Gammaproteobacteria; Enterobacterales; Enterobacteriaceae.